UUAAACUUAACUGAGUGAACUGAAUCGAUUUUAAGUCUGGAAUAUAAUCUAGAUCCAAAGUAGUGUUCAGUUGAAUUGAACAAUUAAUUAAUUGUCGGGUUAAAUUUUCCAUUAUUUAAAGGUCACAAUUAAGAUAAAUUAUCUGUUUGUUUUGGAUCGAUAAAAGAUUAGUUUGUAUACGAAUUCAUAGAGGGCGUUAAGGGUAUUGAGAAUUUUUUUCUCUUCUUUGAUUAAAUUGUUGAGUUAAUUGUUUUUGUUUCUCUAUUUUCUUAAUUAUCUCUUGUAACUUGAUUACUAUUAUCAUUGGAAUUAUUAUUUAUUCUGAAUCAUCCAUGUGUGGGUACUGAUUAAUUCUCUCAUGGUGGUUUGGAGUUAAUCUGAUGGUUGAAUAAUAAGGAAAUGGAUCAAGCCGACAAAUCAAAAUUGGAAUUGUAAAUCUAAACAAACCUGAAGCAAUUAACUCUCUCUCUCUCUCCUCUUGGAAUUAGAUUUAAUCAGUUAAAUAUUCCGUCAUUUCCUUAACAAUCAUCUUAACUGUCAUCUAUCAUUUGUCUCUAUCAUCGGAUCUAAAUCACUUUACCAGAAUCUAAAUGAAUCGGCUUGGAAACACCGAAGGAUAAUAUUCAUGUUAUACAAUCACAAAGUAACCAAGGAAAAUCACACAGAAGGAGAAUGGAAAAGCCAAUCAAGCUUGAUUUUCAAUUUUUCUUCCACCAAAUCAUUAACUCUUGGAUUUAUGGAUUCAUUUGACAAAAGGAAAAUUAUUUUCUAAUCAAGUUGACUAUUUAACCUCAUUAACUUUCUUAAUCACCGAUAAUACACCAAAGGAAAAGAGGAACCUGUUGAAAAGUAUAUGCACCAUGUACCAGGGGAAAUUGUUACCCAUCAUCAUCAACAUCUCCGAUUCAUGUAAUACAAUCAAACAUUAUUACCAAUGGUUUGAUUACCUUUUACUGCACCAAUUUACAGUAAUCAACAAUACAACUGCCACUAAUCAACAACGAUAAUAUCAUGAUGAUGGAAAGGAAAAGAGAAAGUUGUUCAAUUAAUUUCUUUGAUGAGGACGCCAAUGACUUUCUUUUUGCUUAAGUUAAUUGACUUGAUAAAGGUAAUCAUACUCAUUUGAGUAUGAAGUGAUCAGUUGAUUGUGGUUAAUGAUAAAUAACAAGAACCAGUUAUUUAUCAAACAAACAUACUCUGGCCUACCAAAGAUUUCAAUGUUUUCCAAUUGAUUAAAUUGCUUAUUGCUUUCCAUCAAAAGGCCAAUCAAAGGAUCAAAAACAAAAUCAACUCAACCAUUAACUCUCAUUAUAACCUUUGAUUUCUUGUUGAUUAUCAAUCGGUUUUCAUUAUUGGAAAAUCAUUUUCAUCAUGAUGAUAAUUUUUAUGAUUCUUUCAUUAUUAGAUUCAAAUCCUUUCUCAAAUGAAACAACAAUUUAACAUCCAUUAAUUGUUGUCGUUUGUCUGAAUGUGAGAUAAUUUAAAUAACAAAUGAGAUUUAAAUCGUAAAUUGUUUACAUUGAGGCGGUAAAUUCUCAACGAAACUCAAGAAUUAAGGUAAAUACAAUUAACAAUCAGGUAAAUAUACUCAUUUGAAAUGAUUACUAUUUCAUAAUUACACAAUUAAUAUCAUUGAUUUAGCGAUUAGAUGAAAGUUAAGUAUGCGUCAAGUGAAUCAUUGAGAUAUUUAUGGUAAACAAUUUAACCUAGAAAAUUGAAUUAACGUAACACACAUAAUUCAUUGCAAUCAAAUUAAUCAUCUAAAUCAUACACAUAUAAGAUAUUGAUGAUAUCAAGUAUUAGUUAAGUAUAAAAAAAUCCCGUUAUUUAUAAUUAACUAUUUUUAUCUUAAUCAGUCAAUUCAAUUCCGGGGAAAAAAAUGAUUUUCUUAAUUAAUUUGGUUAUCAUUCAUCUUACUCAUUCACUUACAAUCAAUGACAAUUAACUAAAUAACAUAUAAAUUAAUUUACUAUAAUAUUAACACACUAAUAAUAAGGCUUAUUAAGAGUCCCCGCAAUUUAAAUUAACCUUAAUCACAAUUAAUUUGAACACUUGAACAACUUUUCUCUCAAUAUAAAUAACAAUGAUCAUGAUUUAAGUUAAUUGUCAUGAUUUGUGUACGUUAAAGGAAAACAAAUAACCCAAACUAACAUUUAAUUGAUUUAUCUUUAGACAAUAACAACUAUCAUUUCCUCAACAAUUAAUAAAUCAUUUUGAUAAUAAUCUAAUCUUGUUUCCCACUGACAAUCAAACCAAUGAAAAAAAGUUUAAAUGUCCAAAAGGCAGUUAAUUGUUUUCCAUUAUAAUAAUAAUCACUUAAAUAAUAUAAAGCUUAUCAAUCAUGUCAAUCAAUUUUAAUUAUCAUGUUAACAGUAUAAUAAUUUGAAAAUUUAUUUACCUUUCACCUUAAAUAAUGAACAAUUUAAUUAAUCAACUUUCACACUGGGAAAAUGAUUGAUUCCAGGAAUCUUUAAUAUUCAAUAACUAAUUAGAAUGAUAUAAAUUUUUUUUUCUCUAUUCAAUUUAAUUAUAACAGAAUCAAAAGGAGAGAGAGAGAGAGACAACCACAGAGAGAUAAAAUGGAGAUGAAGACAAUCAACUGAUCAUAAUGGUAAAUCAUUAAUUAUAUUGAUGAUUAAAUCUAAAGCAAUUUAUCAACGGAUUGUUGAUUAGGAUUUUGGGAUGCGGAUCAUGAUUUGUUUUUUAUCAUUCAAAUGAAUCAACAUCUUUAAACAUUUACAUCUUUCCCUUUAAAAAAGGAUCAACUUAACUGUGAAUAUAUUAACACAUUAACCAUUUACAGUUUAUCAUCAUCAUCAUCAUCAUCAUCACAAGUAUGACUCAUUGAAUACUGAUGAGGAAAAGAUGAAGAUGAUGAUGACUUUCAGGGGAGAGAGAGAGAGAGAGACUAAACUCCCAAUUGCUAUCAUUAGGGGUCAAGAGUAAUGAAAAGAUGCUCCUUCCUCUGAAGAGCAUCCUCUUCAUCCUCCUCCUCAUCCUCUUCUUCAUCAUAACUGAACAUUUAUCCUCCUCCUCUCUCUUCAUCUUCCCCAUGACCAUUAGACCGGAGUAACAGCAAUUUAAACUUGUUAGUUAAAUUGAAGAGGUAACUUUCCUAAAUUAUAAUCAUCAUUAUCAUCAACCCAAUGGUGGUGGUGGUGAUAAUGAUGAUGAGUAGUUAGUAGUUAUCUUUUUAUUAUUAUUACUGUUGUGUUGUUGUUGUUGUUUUUUAUCUAUUGAUUGUAAUUUGAAGUUACUAAUUUAAUUAAUUGCUACCAAUCGUAACCAAUACCAUUUUCAUGGUUAAGUAUCAACUUAGAGUUAAAUUAGUGAAACCAGAAGAAUCCUUCAACUAAUCAUAAUCAAAUCAAUUGAUUGUUAUUGGUAAAAUUUCACUAUCCAUGUUAAUACAACAAUUUAAUCAAAGUUUUAUACUUUUUUUAUGAUUAACCUUUUCUCAUAUCAGUUGAAGUAAAAAACAAACAAACCUAAUAAUCACAAUUAAAUUAUUACCAUAAUUAGAAUUACUAUUAAUAUAAUGAUAAUUUUAAUUGUGUUGUAUUUUUAGAUUGUUGUGGUUAAUGUUUGUUUAAUGAUAAUCAUUAGUGUUUCGAUAAUAUCUUUUUGUUUCAUAAUUUGUUUGUAAUGUUAUCGAUUCCAAUCGAUUCCUAUGAGUAAUUCAGUAAUCGAAUGAGUCACCAAAUGCUCCCUUUUUGGUUAAUAUGUUUCCGCCUCCUUCUCAUCAUCAUCUGUCUUUCUCUCUAUCUCUCUCUUUGUUGAUAUUAUGUAAAAUAUCCCAUAGAUAUUUUUUCCCGCUUCAUGUGAAUUGUGAAUUUUUUUUCCUCCGUUUCAAAAGCUUCCGUUGCCAUCAUUGUCCAUCAAUUUUCAUCACAAAGAGAGAAAGUCUCAUUGAUGAUGCUGAUAAAGAUGAUGGAAUCAUCAUCACGCUCAUAGAUGAUUCUGACUCAUUUUUGAGUUUCAUCUCUAUCUGUCUUUUCCGUCCUCCCUUUCAUCAUCAUCAUCAUCUCUCUCUCUCUCUCUUUCCCUAUUUUCCCUCUUCCACUGCCUCCACAGCUUCAAUUGCUGUUUUCAUUUUAACUCAUGAAAGUUUAUCCUCCUUUUGUGAUGAUGAUGAUGAUAAUAAUAACAACAAACCCAAUAAUCCGUCAAAAAUGAACGUUAAGCCCAAUAGAGAAGAGGAAGGUUUCCCUUUGGAAGGCGCGUGCAAAGUCAAAGUUAAGGUCACCAACACAGAAGAAAAAGUCGAAUUGCAUCAAAGAGAUGAUGAUGAGCAUCAGACGAUGAUGAUGAUGAUGAUGAUGCAUAAAGAGUGAGAGAGAAAAAAGUGAGCAACUCACCUUCUCUCUCUUUCUCUCAUCCAGGUAAUACCGGAAUGUUGUCAAACAGGUUCCAUAAUCUUUUCUCAUAGGCUUUUCUUUCAAAUCUCUACAUCUACUCUCACCUUGAUUUCCACUUUCCUACCUUUAGAUUUUUCUCUCUUGACGUAACUUUCAUCUUCUCUUUCCCUCCCUAACCCACCUCAUCAUCAUCAUCAUCAUCAUCAUCUCUCUCUCUCUACCCUGUUUCCCUAGUUUCUUCAACCCACCUCACUUUUACCACCACAGACUAAUACAAAAGCCUUUUCACCAGACAGAGCAUGAUGAUGAUGAUGGGAUGAUGAUAAAACACUGACAAUCAGGUUUCUCUUUCCUAAUCUUCUUGAUUGUUUGCAAUUAAACAAUUCACCUUUAAUUUCAAUCCCCGAUAAUAAUAAAAAUGAACACAGUUACCGUUGAUUAUUUGUUUCCAAAUGAUCAUCAUUAUAUUAAUUAUCACAAUAAUAACAUUGUCCAUUUUUUUAUCGUUAUUAUCAUGAAGACAAAAAAUCCAUAAAUGUGACAAUAACAUUAUUUGGACAGUUGAUUGAACAACGACAAUAAUAAUAAUGAUAAUUAUCAAUUGUUAUUGUUGAUUAUUAUUUCUGUUUGAUAAUAAACACAGUAAAUAAGGAAACAAUAGCCAAUUGUAAACAAUUAAAUUACUUGAAUUUAAUAUUAACUGUUAAUGAUUUUUACAAUCAAACAUUUGCCUAAUGCUUUUUCAUUAUUGAAUUUAAUAUUUUAUUCAAUUCAAAUAUUUAAUUUAGUUUCACAUUCACUUAAAAAUUUUCACUGUUAUUAAUUAGUUUUUGUAUUAUUAUUAUGGUUGAGCUUAAUUAAUGUUUUCUGUUUUUAAUUGUUAUCAUUAACCCGCAAGGGAUGUUGAUGAUUUAAAUUUUUCAUUUGUCAUGAUUAUGGUUACGGUUAAGUUAAUCAACAUAAUGAAUGUUAAUUUAAUCAACGGACCAUUUGAGUGACAUUUUCAGUUUAAUUGCUCCUGAUGAUCAUUUGAUUCCUGCAAAUAAUUUAAAAAUAAUUUACAAUCAGUUAAUUAUCAUUGAAAAUUUGAAUCUUGAAAGUUUCAAUUGUUUAAUAAAAACACAAUUUAUUGAUUAAUCACUUUUAUUGGUACAAUUAACUGUUGAUUGUUUUGUUAAGAGUUGACAAAAAAUUCAAUUGAUAAAUUGUUGACAAUUGGGUUAACAAUUAAAAGUUUAUUGUUGGGAUUUUUAUUUUGAUGGAUCAAUUUUAUUAUUAAAUUAACUCAGCAAGUUUUCAACAAUUAACUAGCUGAUUGUUGUAUUUAUCAUAUACAGCAAGUGAUUAACUUGAUUUUCUGAAGCCUAAUUAAAUUGUCGCAAUUAAAAAGAAAGCCAAAGUUAAUUAGAUUUGAAAUGAUUCCAUGAUAACUAAAUCAACUAACUAACCAAUUAACUUCCUGUUACCCUGAGGAGUGGUGACAAUUAUAUUAUUAUAAUUGUAACAAUGAUAAAAUUUACACAGAGACAAUGAUUAUAACCUUUAUUUGUUAAUUGACAAGGACAAUCAACAAUGAUGAUUAUCAACAAUCAUCAGAAUGAUAUAAAUAGACACUUAAUCAACAUGAAACAUUGUCCUUGAUUGUUGAUCAUUUUUGUUUUGUUUUGUUUCAUCUUCUUCCUGAUAUUAUGUAUCUCAACAAUUGUUAAUCGUCCGUGAUCAUGAUUGUUAUCAUAAACUACCAGACAAUUAGUUUAAUUGUCGUGUAACUAGAUUAUGAUUAAACCUUAAUGAUUGUUGUAAUUGUUUUCAAUGAAUUACCAUGAUUACUAUUUAUCUUUAUGGGAUUUUUUGAAUACGUUCCUGGAAAAUAUUAAAUUGCUCAAAAAUGUAAACAAUUUACAAUCUAAUUAGUUAAUUGUUUGAGUUUAUUUUCUUGUGGAAAAAUAUUUCAAUGUUAGUAAUUUCAAUUGUAGAUUCAAUUUACUAAUUAUUAUUAAUAUUUUUUUUUCCAUACCAAUCAAAUAAUAAGUUAAUCAUUUUAAGUGUAACUUGAUUACUUUGAAAAAAUCUGAGUAAUUUAACCAAUCAGGAAAUUAAAACUCUUAAUUGUUACCAAUGGUGUUGAUUGUUAAGUCCAUUUGAAGGUUAUGAUGAUUAUUAUUAUAACAGGUUUGUUGUAACAGUUAACUAAUUGUUUACCUGAAUCAUUUGAUUUUCAAGUGAAUUUAAAUUGUCUGAAUGAAAAUGAAAUUAAAAACAAAACCUUGAAUUUGAAUACGUUUGUGAAACAAUUAACUUAUUACUCACAUUAAAUGAGUCAUUCCUGUGUUAAUAGUUAAUUAAUAGUUGAUUAAAUAUCCUUAUGAAUGAAAUGAGUGAAAUUACAAUCACAUAACAUAAUCAGCUGAUUACAAAAGCAAUUAAAUGAGUAACAAUUUAAAUAUUUACUUGUUUUACAAAGUUUAUCAUUCUCAAGUUUCUGAUAAUUGUAAUUUCCCGUUGUAAGAGUCAAUUGGGAUUCAUUGUAAGAAAUUAAUUCCACCAAUUCUCAUGAAUUUUAUAUCAAUUUUCAUGAGGAUGAAGAUGAAAACGAUUGUUAUUAUUACCUUUGUGAGUUAAUUUACUUUUUUUCUGCUUCUCUGUAACGAACUGAUAACCAAGAGAGAUGAUUAAAGAAUCGGUUCCAAUGAUUUACCACAAGUUACCCACUUCAUGGGAAUUGCUGGUGAUCAUCAGGAUAAUAACAAGGAUGAGGAUGGAAAAGUACAGUUAGUCUUUGGUUUUAUAUUUUCCAUAGAAAAGAAAACAUCAAAUCAAAUUGAGAUUCACUUCACGAACUUUUUAUUAUCAUUGAAAUUGUAUUUCUACAUUCAAUCGAAACCAAUACAAUUGUAAUUGUAUUCCAACAAUCAAUGUAAACAACAACAACAACAAUCAUUUAUUUCUGACAAUCAGCUGAAUGAUCAACAAUCAAUGGAUCUCAGGAAAUUAGUGUUUUCCAAUUUCAAGCUUAGUUAAAGUUGAGAAGUUGAAAUUUAUUGAAAUUGUUGAUUAGGUGAUUGAUCAAAUGUUUAAUUUCAAUUGAUUACCAUGAUGAUUAACUAACAUUUAUCAUGAAAUUUAGUAUCAGUUGUUGUUGUCUCUAGUUAAUUUUAAUUCUUGUCACUUGGUUACCAUUGAUUGUUAUCAAUCUAUUACUUGGGGUGAUUUCAGUUAUCAGGUAAAAUUUGAUUGCUGUGUGAUCGCAAUUUGUUUUGUCAAGAAAACUAAAACCUAAUCAUUAACUAACCAACAACAACAAUUAACAGAGACACUGACAAACACAAUCAAUGAUACCAACUGAUAACUGGACAGUAAGUAAUUUAUUAUUAACCUUUAAAUGGUUAAUACUGUUCAUCUCUCUACCUGUGGAUACCACUGAUAACCUUUACCACCCCCUAAGGGUUAAACCAUUAACUGACCUCAAACUGACCAUUAGAAAUUAGUCAAUCUAUUGGGUCACUUGAAGGUAACUUUCACAUUCCAAUUGACGUUGUACUUUCUUUUCCAGGUAAAAGGUAAAAGUAUAUUCGUUAAUUGUUGUUACCUUUAUUGUCCAAAUCUAAUCGACAUGGAAAUCGAUCAACGAUUCGGUCAGUCUAUUAUUCAAUUGUCCAAUUUGUGACAGAAGAUUAAAUUUAUUGACCAUUGGAUGAUGACCUAUGGCCCCCAGUUUCCAAUUGCAAUUUAUAAAUAACUGUAAUUACAAAAGUUUCCCUUGUUGACCUUUAAAAAUUUGAAAUACGAAAAAAAAAUGAGCAAAAAAAAAAGUUAACUGUUAAUUGUUGUUUUCCAAUAAAAUGAUUAAUUGCUCAACAUCAACAAUUAAACCAUGAAAAUUAAUGUUUAUGUAAUAAUAAUAAGUUAAUUUAAAACUUGAAAACAAAUCAUUUAAUGAUAAUUUCUCAGAUUUAAUAACAAUCAAAAACAAAAAGAUAAUCAUUUGGACAUGAUAAUAAUAACUGACCAUUAACUAUAACCAAUUGAUUUGAUUGUAAUCAUCUUUGUUUUUUUCCCAAACUGUAUCAUUAUAAAAUAUUAAUAUAUAUAUGAAAUUGUCUGAUUAUGAUUAACAAUUAACUGAUUAUUAUUGUUAUCCCAGGGCAGAGCAAUUUACCAUUAAAUUAAAUAUCACAUUGACAUUAUGAUUAAGUAUCACAAUAAAUAC
Molecule: long non-coding RNA, 8568 nt
Organism: Panonychus citri (citrus red mite)
Lineage: Eukaryota; Metazoa; Arthropoda; Arachnida; Trombidiformes; Tetranychidae
Exons: 4
Source: RefSeq, a predicted model, not a curated record